AUAAUUUAAGACUGGAAUGAAAGAGUAAACAUAAAGAAAUAUUUCUAUUUAAUAAGUUUAAAUCUUACUUUUUAGUAAAAAGGCUAAAAUAAAACUUAAAGACAAGAAGACCCUGUAAAACUUUACACACUAAAAUUUAAAAUUUAUCUCUGUGUUCAGCUGGGGCGGCAUAAGAUUCUAACAUCUUAAAAUUUUAAUAAAUUUUAUCAUACCCAGAAUUUCUGAAAAUUAAACAAGCUACUUCAGGGAUAACAGCGUAAUCCAUUUUGAAAGAUCCUAUCGACAAAAGUGAUUGCGACCUCGAUGUUGGAUUGU
RNAcentral lists this ribosomal RNA (315 nucleotides) under Tityus zulianus. Its description in RNAcentral is "partial 16S ribosomal RNA". The stretch from base 106 to 315 matches the Rfam family "Archaeal large subunit ribosomal RNA", at positions 2161 to 2609 of the family's 2987-position model. Lineage: Eukaryota; Metazoa; Arthropoda; Arachnida; Scorpiones; Buthidae. The record is from RNAcentral.